Molecule: ribosomal RNA, 497 nt
Filed under: uncultured bacterium
Lineage: Bacteria
Description: partial 16S ribosomal RNA
Rfam family: Bacterial small subunit ribosomal RNA
Source: RNAcentral
GAUGAACGCUGGCGGCGUGCCUAAUACAUGCAAGUCGAGCGAACAGAUAAGGAGCUUGCUCCUUUGACGUUAGCGGCGGACGGGUGAGUAACACGUGGGUAACCUACCUAUAAGACUGGGAUAACUUCGGGAAACCGGAGCUAAUACCGGAUAACAUUUGGAACCGCAUGGUUCUAAAGUGAUAGAUGGUUUUGCUAUCACUUAUAGAUGGUCCCGCGCCGUAUUAGCUAGUUGGUAAGGUAACGGCUUACCAAGGCAACGAUACGUAGCCGACCUGAGAGGAUGAUCAGCCACACUGGAACUGAGACACGGUCCAGACUCCUACGGGAGGCAGCAGUAGGGAAUCUUCGGCAAUGGGCGAAAGCCUGACGGAGCAACGCCGCGUGAGUGAUGAAGGGUUUCGGCUCGUAAAGCUCUGUUAUUAGGGAGGAACGGACGUGUAAGUAAAUGUGCACGUCUUGACGGUACCUAAUCAGAAAGCCACGGCUAACUACGUG